GUGUAGCUCAGUCGGUAGAGUGCUUGCUUAACAUUCAGGAAGCCCUAGAUUCAAUCCCUAGCAC
RNAcentral lists this transfer RNA (64 nucleotides) under Mesocricetus auratus (golden hamster). It matches the Rfam family "tRNA", at positions 5 to 66 of the family's 71-position model. Rfam says of the family: Transfer RNA (tRNA) molecules are approximately 80 nucleotides in length. Their secondary structure includes four short double-helical elements and three loops (D, anti-codon, and T loops). Further hydrogen bonds mediate the characteristic L-shaped molecular structure. tRNAs have two regions of fundamental functional importance: the anti-codon, which is responsible for specific mRNA codon recognition, and the 3' end, to which the tRNAs corresponding amino acid is attached (by aminoacyl-tRNA synthetases). tRNAs cope with the degeneracy of the genetic code in two manners: having more than one tRNA (with a specific anti-codon) for a particular amino acid; and 'wobble' base-pairing, i.e. permitting non-standard base-pairing at the 3rd anti-codon position. The record is from Rfam by way of RNAcentral. Lineage: Eukaryota; Metazoa; Chordata; Mammalia; Rodentia; Cricetidae.